GUGUACGUACAAGCAGUGGGAGCACCCUUUUGGGUGUGACUGCGUACCUUUUGUAUAAUGGGUCAGCGACUUAUAUUCUGUAGCAAGGUUAACCGUAUAGGGGAGCCGGAGGGAAACCGAGUCUUAAUUGGGCGUUAAGUUGCAGGGUAUAGACCCGAAACCCGGUGAUCUAGCCAUGGGCAGGUUGAAGGUUGGGUAACACUAACUGGAGGACCGAACCGACUAAUGUUGAAAAAUUAGCGGAUGACCUGUGGCU
Molecule: ribosomal RNA, 256 nt
Filed under: Salmonella enterica subsp. enterica serovar Vancouver
Lineage: Bacteria; Pseudomonadati; Pseudomonadota; Gammaproteobacteria; Enterobacterales; Enterobacteriaceae
Description: partial 23S ribosomal RNA
Rfam family: Bacterial large subunit ribosomal RNA
Source: RNAcentral